Molecule: ribosomal RNA, 497 nt
Filed under: uncultured bacterium
Lineage: Bacteria
Description: partial 16S ribosomal RNA
Rfam family: Bacterial small subunit ribosomal RNA
Source: RNAcentral
GAUGAACGCUGGCGGCGUGCCUAAUACAUGCAAGUCGAGCGAACAGAUAAGGAGCUUGCUCCUUUGACGUUAGCGGCGGACGGGUGAGUAACACGUGGAUAACCUACCUAUAAGACUGGGAUAACUUCGGGAAACCGGAGCUAAUACCGGAUAACAUAUUGAACCGCAUGGUUCAAUAGUGAAAGGCGGCUUUGCUGUCACUUAUAGAUGGAUCCGCGCCGUAUUAGCUAGUUGGUAAGGUAACGGCUUACCAAGGCAACGAUACGUAGCCGACCUGAGAGGGUGAUCGGCCACACUGGAACUGAGACACGGUCCAGACUCCUACGGGAGGCAGCAGUAGGGAAUCUUCCGCAAUGGGCGAAAGCCUGACGGUGCAACGCCGCGUGAGUGAUGAAGGUCUUCGGAUCGUAAAACUCUGUUAUCAGGGAAGAACAAAUGUGUAAGUAACUGUGCACAUCUUGACGGUACCUGAUCAGAAAGCCACGGCUAACUACGUG